GCCAGUGUGAUGUAGUGGUUUGAAUGUUGGACUAUGACUCUAUAGAACAGGGUUCGAAUCCGCACUGGUG
Non-coding RNA from Phrynosoma platyrhinos (Desert horned lizard), 70 nucleotides. The record is from the annotation of a GenBank genome assembly. Lineage: Eukaryota; Metazoa; Chordata; Lepidosauria; Squamata; Phrynosomatidae.